Molecule: ribosomal RNA, 270 nt
Filed under: uncultured prokaryote
Description: partial 16S ribosomal RNA
Rfam family: Bacterial small subunit ribosomal RNA
Source: RNAcentral
UGAGGAAUUUUCCGCAAUGGGCGCAAGCCUGACGGAGCGACGCCGCGUGAGGGAUGAAGUAUUUCGGUAUGUAAACCUCUUUUGUGGGGGAAAAAGAUGUUCGUGCUCAUACCACGGGCAUUUGAUGGUACUCCGCGAAUAAGCCCCGGCUAACUACGUGCCAGCAGCCGCGGUAACACGUAGGGGGCGAGCGUUGUACGGAUUUACUGGGCGUAAAGGGCGUGUAGGCGGUUGGAUAAGUCUGACGUGAAAUUCUAGGGCUCAACCCUG